AUGACGCCGGUGCAGCGGGGGGGCCCAGAGGGGGGCGGAGCUCAGGGAGGCAAGGCCGAGGAUAAGGAGUGCAUGCCCGUCACCAACUGCGCCGCUUGGUCAAGGACAUGAAGAUCAAGUCCCUGGAGGAGAUCUACCUCUUCUCCCUGCCCAUUAAGGAAUCUGAGAUCAUUGACUUUCUCUUGGGGGCCUCUCUCAAAGACGAGGUUUUGAAAAUUAUGCCCGUGCAGAAGCAGACCCAUGCUGGCCAGCGCACCAGGUUCAAGGCCUUUGUUGCUAUCGGGGACUACAAUGGCCACGUCGGCCUGGGUGUUAAGUGCUCCAAGGAGGUGGCCAUCGGCGUCUGUGGGGCCAUCAUCCUGGCCAAACUUUCCAUUGUCCCCGUGCGCAGAGGCUACUGGGGGAACAAGACUGUCAAGCUCCACACCGUCCCUUGCAAGGUGACAGGCCGCUGCGGCUCUGUGCUGGUGCGCCUCAUCCGUGCACCCAGGGGCACUGGCUUCGUCUCAGCGCCUGUGGCCAAGAAGCUGUUCAUGAUGACUCGUAUCCAUGACUGUUACACCUCAGCCCGGGGCUGCACUGCCACCCUGGGCAACUUCGCCAAGGCCACCUUUGAUGCCAUCUGUAAGACCUACAGCUACCUGACCCCUGACCUCUGGAAGGAGACUGUAUUUACCAAGUCUCCCUAUCAGGAAUUCACUGACCACCUUGUCAAGACCCGCACCAGAGUCUCCGUGCCGCGGACCCAGGCUCCAGCUGUGGCUACAACAUAGGGUUUUUAUACAAGAAAAAUAAAGUGAAUUAAG
This is a non-coding RNA of Macaca mulatta (Rhesus monkey), 806 nucleotides long. The record is from RefSeq and is a predicted model, not a curated record. Lineage: Eukaryota; Metazoa; Chordata; Mammalia; Primates; Cercopithecidae.